This 305-nucleotide ribosomal RNA is filed under the name uncultured bacterium. Its description in RNAcentral is "bacterial SSU rRNA". It matches the Rfam family "Bacterial small subunit ribosomal RNA", at positions 335 to 632 of the family's 1533-position model. The record is from RNAcentral.
UACCCUACGGGGGGCAGCAGUGGGGAAUCUUCCGCAAUGGGCGAAAGCCUGACGGAGCAAUGCCGCGUGAGUGAAGAAGGCCUUCGGGUUGUAAAACUCUGUCCUUAUCGAAGAGAGGUGGGUAUGUGAAUAAUGUACUCAUAGGACGGUAGAUAAGGAGGAAGCCCCGGCUAACUACGUGCCAGCAGCCGCGGUAAUACGUAGGGGGCUAGCGUUAUCCGGAAUUACUGGGCGUAAAGGGUGCGUAGGUGGUUUCUUAAGUCAGAGGUGAAAGGCUACGGCUCAACCGUAGUAAGCCUUUGAAA